Molecule: ribosomal RNA, 253 nt
Filed under: uncultured bacterium
Lineage: Bacteria
Description: partial 16S ribosomal RNA
Rfam family: Bacterial small subunit ribosomal RNA
Source: RNAcentral
UACGGAGGGUGCAAGCGUUGUCCGGAAUCACUGGGCGUAAAGGGCGCGUAGGCGGCUCGGUAAGUAGGGGGUGAAAUCCUGCGGCUUAACCGCAGGGCUGCCUUCUAAACUGUCGAGCUUGAGCACGGUAGAGGCAGAUGGAAUUCCCGGUGUAGCGGUGGAAUGCGUAGAGAUCGGGAAGAACAUCAGUGGCGAAGGCGGUCUGCUGGGCCGUUGCUGACGCUGAGGCGCGAAAGCCAGGGGAGCAAACGGG